AAUCAAGUAGCCCAGAAAAGUAUUGGUAGGUUCAUAAGUUAAUACUGGUGAAUCAAGUAGCCCAGAAAAGUAUUGGUAGGUUCAUAAGUUAAUACUGGUGAAUCAAGUAGCCCAGAAAAGUAUUGGUAGGUUCAUAAGUUAAUACUGGUGAAUCAAGUAGCCCAGAAAAGUAUUGGUAGGUUCAUAAGUUAAUACUGGUGAAUCAAGUAGCCCAGAAAAGUAUUGGUAGGUUCAUAAGUUAAUACUGGUGAAUCAAGUAGCCCAGAAAAGUAUUGGUAGGUUCAUAAGUUAAUACUGGUGAAUCAAGUAGCCCAGAAAAGUAUUGGUAUGUUACCUGAUUGGCAUGAU
This is a long non-coding RNA of Dreissena polymorpha, 348 nucleotides long. RefSeq lists it as uncharacterized. The transcript is spliced from 3 exons. The record is from RefSeq and is a predicted model, not a curated record. Lineage: Eukaryota; Metazoa; Mollusca; Bivalvia; Myida; Dreissenidae.